CCAGAUCUAUCUUUCCAGCU
RNAcentral lists this microRNA (20 nucleotides) under Bombyx mori (domestic silkworm). Its description in RNAcentral is "bmo-miR-750-3p". Its record names the gene bmo-miR-750-3p. Lineage: Eukaryota; Metazoa; Arthropoda; Insecta; Lepidoptera; Bombycidae. The record is from miRBase by way of RNAcentral.